UGCUGGGAUGUGAUGGGGAGCGAAAUUUAGUAGCGAAGUAGCUGAUUUCACACUGUCAAGAAAAGUCUCUAUCGAGGUUAAAGGUACCCGUACCGCAAACCGACACAGGUGGGUGAGGAGAGUAUCCUAAGGCCAGCGAGAGAACUGUUGUUAAGGAACUCGGCAAAAUGACCCCGUAACUUAGGGAUAAGGGGUGCCACCAUCAGGUGGCCGCAGAGAAUAGGCCCAAGCGACUGUUUACCAAAAACAUAGGUUUCUGCUAAGUCGCAAGACGAUGUAUAGGAGCUGACGCCUGCCCGGUGCUGGAAGGUUAAGGGGA
This 319-nucleotide ribosomal RNA is filed under the name Clostridioides difficile. Its description in RNAcentral is "bacterial LSU rRNA". It matches the Rfam family "Bacterial large subunit ribosomal RNA", at positions 1554 to 1885 of the family's 2925-position model. Lineage: Bacteria; Bacillati; Bacillota; Clostridia; Peptostreptococcales; Peptostreptococcaceae. The record is from RNAcentral.